Molecule: ribosomal RNA, 253 nt
Filed under: uncultured bacterium
Lineage: Bacteria
Description: partial 16S ribosomal RNA
Rfam family: Bacterial small subunit ribosomal RNA
Source: RNAcentral
UACGUAGGUGGCAAGCGUUGUCCGGAAUUAUUGGGCGUAAAGCGCACGUAGGCGGACUCUUAAGUCGGUGGUGAAAUCCUGGAGCUCAACUCCAGAACUGCCUUCGAUACUGAGAGUCUCGAGUCCGGGAUAGGUGAGUGGAACUGCGAGUGUAGAGGUGAAAUUCGUAGAUAUUCGCAAGAACACCAGUGGCGAAGGCGGCUCACUGGCCCGGUACUGACGCUGAGGUGCGAAAGCGUGGGGAGCAAACAGG